Molecule: ribosomal RNA, 434 nt
Filed under: uncultured Lachnospiraceae bacterium
Lineage: Bacteria; Bacillati; Bacillota; Clostridia; Lachnospirales; Lachnospiraceae
Description: partial 16S ribosomal RNA
Rfam family: Bacterial small subunit ribosomal RNA
Source: RNAcentral
ACGGAAGGCAGCAGUGGGGAAUAUUGGACAAUGGGGGAAACCCUGAUCCAGCGACGCCGCGUGAGUGAAGAAGUAUUUCGGUAUGUAAAGCUCUAUCAGCAAGGAAGAAAAUGACGGUACCUGACUAAGAAGCCCCGGCUAACUACGUGCCAGCAGCCGCGGUAAUACGUAGGGGGCAAGCGUUAUCCGGAUUUACUGGGUGUAAAGGGAGCGUAGACGGCAUGGCAAGUCUGAAGUGAAAGCUCGGGGCUCAACCCCGGAACUGCUUUGGAAACUGUCAGGCUAGAGUACCGGAGGGGUAAGCGGAAUUCCUAGUGUAGCGGUGAAAUGCGUAGAUAUUAGGAGGAACACCAGUGGCGAAGGCGGCUUACUGGACGGUAACUGACGUUGAGGCUCGAAAGCGUGGGGAGCAAACAGGAUUAGAUACCCUGGUA